Molecule: ribosomal RNA, 301 nt
Filed under: uncultured bacterium
Lineage: Bacteria
Description: partial 16S ribosomal RNA
Rfam family: Bacterial small subunit ribosomal RNA
Source: RNAcentral
CAGCAGCCACGGUAAAACAGAGGGUGCAAGCGUUAAUCGGAAUUACUGGGCGUAAAGCGCGCGUAGGUGGUUUGUUAAGUUGGAUGUGAAAUCCCCGGGCUCAACCUGGGAACUGCAUCCAAAACUGGCAAGCUAGAGUAUGGUAGAGGGUGGUGGAAUUUCCUGUGUAGCGGUGAAAUGCGUAGAUAUAGGAAGGAACACCAGUGGCGAAGGCGACCACCUGGACUGAUACUGACACUGAGGUGCGAAAGCGUGGGGAGCAAACAGGAUUAGAUACCCCAGUAGUCCCUGUCUCUUAUAC